GACGUAGGGCGCGAGCGUUGUCCGGAUUUAUUGGGCGUAAAGAGCUCGUAGGCGGCUUGUCGCGUCGUCUGUGAAAUCCCGCGGCUCAACCGCGGGUCUGCAGUCGAUACGGGCAGGCUAGAGUUCGGUAGGGGAGACUGGAAUUCCUGGUGUAGCGGUGAAAUGCGCAGAUAUCAGGAGGAACACCGGUGGCGAAGGCGGGUCUCUGGGCAGUAACUGACGCUGAGGAGCGAAAGCGUGGGGAGCGAACAGG
This 253-nucleotide ribosomal RNA is filed under the name uncultured bacterium. RNAcentral describes it as "partial 16S ribosomal RNA". It matches the Rfam family "Bacterial small subunit ribosomal RNA", at positions 524 to 776 of the family's 1533-position model. The record is from RNAcentral.